This 18-nucleotide small nuclear RNA is filed under the name Arabidopsis thaliana (thale cress). Its description in RNAcentral is "snRNA_16784". The record is from RNAcentral. Lineage: Eukaryota; Viridiplantae; Streptophyta; Magnoliopsida; Brassicales; Brassicaceae.
UACCACCGAGCGGCGGGU